Molecule: transfer RNA, 75 nt
Filed under: Saltatorellus ferox
Lineage: Bacteria; Pseudomonadati; Planctomycetota; Planctomycetia
Description: Planctomycetes bacterium Poly30 tRNA-Met
Rfam family: tRNA
About the family: Transfer RNA (tRNA) molecules are approximately 80 nucleotides in length.
Source: RNAcentral
GGGCCCUUAGCUCAGUCGGUUAGAGCGCGCGACUCAUAAUCGCUCGGUCGUUGGUUCGAGUCCAACAGGGCCUAC